This 493-nucleotide ribosomal RNA is filed under the name uncultured bacterium. RNAcentral describes it as "bacterial SSU rRNA". It matches the Rfam family "Bacterial small subunit ribosomal RNA", at positions 28 to 507 of the family's 1533-position model. The record is from RNAcentral.
GAUGAACGCUAGCUACAGGCUUAACACAUGCAAGUCGAGGGGAAACGACAUCGAAAGCUUGCUUUUGAUGGGCGUCGACCGGCGCACGGGUGAGUAACGCGUGUCCAACCUGCCCACCACUUGGGGAUAACCUUGCGAAAGUAAGACUAAUACCCAAUGAUAUCCCACGAAGGCAUCCGAAUGGGAUUAAAGAUUUAUCGGUGAUGGAUGGGGAUGCGUCUGAUUAGCUUGUUGGCGGGGUAACGGCCCACCAAGGCGACGAUCAGUAGGGGUUCUGAGAGGAAGGUCCCCCCACAUUGGAACUGAGACACGGUCCAAACUCCUACGGGAGGCAGCAGUGAGGAAUAUUGGUCAAUGGACGGGAGUCUGAACCAGCCAAGUAGCGUGCAGGACGACGGCCCUAUGGGUUGUAAACUGCUUUUAUAGGGGGAUAAAGUGUGCCACGUGUGGCAUAUUGCAGGUACCCUAUGAAUAAGGACCGGCUAAUUCCGUG